GCGGCCGCUAGGCCGAGGCCCUGAGCCCGGGAGCGGUUCUCAAAAGGCGCAGGCCGAGCCUUUACUGGGGUGGGGGGCAGGCUCGGCUCUUACAGGGCUGACCCGGGGUGAACCUGCUAUUUUGGGGCCCGUGUGCCGCGGGGCCAAGAGGACAGCUGGGACGGGGGACCCCCGCCCCCGCCCCCGGGCAGGCACGUCCGCGCCCAGGGGCAGGUCCAGCGCCACCUCCCCGCCACCACCCGGCUAGGGCCCGCGGCAGGGGCGCUCUGGAAACCUUGUAAGGUCUCGUUCUGGCGCCUCCCACCUCGGUUCCCGUAUUGGGGCAGCGGCUCCGCCCGCCGAGCCAGAGUGACCAGUGGGGGACACCCGGACCGUGGCCUGCCCCUGAGGGACCAAGGCGCACGCUUGCCCAACAGCGGAUCUCCUCUUCCCAAAUUUCCAUUUCAGCUCGGGCGUUUAGGACAGCAGCAGGGACACGGUGCGGGGGCAGCGCUCAGCCCCAGAACCCGGCGGGGUGUGCCUUUGGCUGGGGAUCCCCUGACGCGAAACACCCCCUCCCGGGCCGGGCUCCUUUACCGGAGGCCCGCGGACUCCCCACGGCAAUCAGCGGGGCUGGGCUCCGGCUCCUCAAAAGAACUCACAGAAACACAGAAAGGCCCAGGGGGAGUCUUUUGCUGCUGGAAACAACUCUGCCUGGGACCCAGAAUCCAGAAAUGGGUGUCCCUGACCCAGGCAGGCAGAGAGAGGGAUUUUCACCAGUGCAAAUGCAAGAGGAAUGUUGGGAACACAGCUUGGCUAAAGGUAAGGGAAAGGUAAGGAAAGUAUUGUCCAGCACCUGCUAUGUUCUGGAUGCUGUACUUUGCAGAGAGAUAGUCUCAUGUAACCCUCACAACACCCCUAGGAGUUGAGCAUUGUUGUUAUUUCCAUUUU
This 930-nucleotide long non-coding RNA is filed under the name Canis lupus familiaris (dog). Its description in RNAcentral is "lncRNA (ENSCAFG00040009962.1)". Lineage: Eukaryota; Metazoa; Chordata; Mammalia; Carnivora; Canidae. The record is from RNAcentral.